UUGCAGAUCAUUCCAGUGUUACAGCUGCUUUUUGGUGUGUGUGGAAAUAGGUUGUCGUAAAGCAGGCUAAUCAUCUCUGGAGUAUGUGCUUGUGGAACAUCUCAGUACAACUCCAGGAUUUUAUCUUGGAUUUUGAGGAGAGACGGGAGGGGACUGGACCGUGGCACUGUAAGUCCAGCCUCCUGUGAUGGGCUAGCAGCCAGGAUUGCCUUACGAGACAGACCAAUUACCAGAUGCCGGUUCUGAUGAGGUUAGUGACAUUCGUGAAUGGGUCAGGCAGAGGGUCACUGAAAUAGAGGAGAAAAGGCGUCUCGAUCUGGCCCUGUUUAAUGAUGGUGGUGAUCACUUCUUUGAGGGUGUGGGGGAGUCACCCAGUGAAAUGUUCAUGCCUUGGAGCCAGAGCAAAAAAGUGCCUGGUAAAGUACGCGUCUCCUCUAAGGGCGCCGCUACACAUAGCAUGGGAGGUCACGAUUGCCACCCAGCACCAUCGCUCUGGUGUCUGCGGACCUACCAAUGAUCUACCACCCCUCAAGUUAUCGAUCGAGUCUGCAACAGCAGCAAAAGCAACAGCAUUGGGAACCAUAGCCACAGCCUGGCUGUUCUCAUU
Schistocerca nitens (vagrant locust) is the source of this 607-nucleotide long non-coding RNA. RefSeq lists it as uncharacterized. Lineage: Eukaryota; Metazoa; Arthropoda; Insecta; Orthoptera; Acrididae. The transcript has 4 exons. The record is from RefSeq and is a predicted model, not a curated record.